RNAcentral lists this long non-coding RNA (3939 nucleotides) under Equus asinus (donkey). RNAcentral's name for it is "lncRNA (ENSEASG00005025843.1)". Lineage: Eukaryota; Metazoa; Chordata; Mammalia; Perissodactyla; Equidae. The record is from RNAcentral.
UUUUGAUAAGCUUUGCUUUUUAUUUCACAAAAGUUUUUAACUUGAUAUCUUCCUAAGGCUACUGGCAUAUUCUUAUUGAGCUUUAAUCAGAUAUAUGUGAACACAGUGAAGUGUCUUAUUUUCUUAAAUGUAUCUAUGGCAGCAGGACUGGUUAAUCUAGUUGCAAAAAAUUAACCAAAAAGAAACUACUGGACUAGAGAACUCCAUGAUUGAUGGAUUGUUGGUUUUUCUCCUAAAAAAAAAAAAGUCUGUUUACAAAAGAUGAGAAAUGUUGGAGAAAAUGAUUUCCCUUAGGACAUAAUGCUGUGGCCCCUCUGGCAGAGGUCUCUGGCAUUCUCCGCGAGGGAUUGGUACAAGGAACAAGACAGCAUCAGGUUUGCACAGCCGUUGGCGGAGAAAAACAAAGAUGAUUUCCUCUGGUCCCUAUUUUAGUUUUACUCUUUGAACUUCCAACAGUUUAUUUAUUAUUGUUGUUAUUAUUUUUAGUGGGGCACAGAUUGUUUCAGGAAUCAUCUUGGUUCCCUUUUUUGAAGUCUUUUUUUUUUUUUUAUUCUGUUGAGACUGGUUUUUAAAGUGCUCCACCUCCACCACCUGUCACUCUCCGGGGGGCUGUGCCUGGAGAACGCUCACAGUGCCGAGUUCAGCUGCAGACUGCGUGGUGGAGGGCGGCGGCAGAAGGAAAGACAGGUGCCGAUUUGGAGUUCUCCUUGUGAAGCAAAAAGCGCACCACGAUCGGGGAGAGAGAAAAGCUGCGAGGCUAGCCUUAAUGGCCCUAUGACCACAUCAGACUCUGAAACACUGAGACUCUGGGAUGACCCCUGUCCGUCCUCUGCUCUGCUGAUUCUCGCUGCUUCUCUUGGUUUCUGCAGCUGGGGAACGGAAUUUCAAGCAAAUUGUUAUAAUAACGCGCGAGAUAAGGAGACCUCUUGUGAGUUUCAUUCUGGUCUUAUAGCUUUACCUCUUCUACACUUUGAUGGUAGGCAAAAACCAAAGAAAGUUCUAGUUGAUUAAUGGGUUAGGAGAUUUAGUGCAACACCACCUUUUCUUAGACUAGUUCAAUAGAUAUCCAAAAUGCUUCUUAGUUUUCAUUAAGGUCAGCCAUACCGUAUUCCACAGUAGAUAAGUCAGAAAACGUCUUUCUCUGCAGAUUGUACGCAGAAGUCAAUAUGUAAGGAGCUCCAAACUCAAAAGUAUUUAAGACCACCUUGAAAGAUACAUAAAACGGUGUCCUUAGUCAAGGCCUUGACCGGAUCUGGCUGUGUAGUGAGGUGUUUUAUCUUAAUUUCCUAGUCCGUUAUCUGGGGAUUUUGUCUUUUAUUUUGUUACUGUAUUAAGCUGUAUUUUUAGUAUGUUGACAGCUUAUCAGCAAAGAUAAACUUUUUUUUAAAUGACUAUCUUUUUUAAAAUUUUAAAAUUUUUAUUUAUUUAUUUAUUUUUGAGGAAUAUUAGCUCUGAGCUAACUACUGCCAAUCCUCCUCCUUUUGCUGAGGAAGACUGGCCCUGAGCCAACAUCCAUGCCCAUCUUCCUCUAUUUUAUGGAUGGAACACCUACCACAGCAUGGUUUUUGCCAAGCGGUGCCAUGUCCGCACCCGGGAUCUGAACCGGCGGACCCCAGGCUGCCAAAUUGGAAUGUGCACACUUAACCACUGCACCACCAGGCCAGCCCCAAAGAUAAACUUUUAAUUAAGCAUCUGGGCUGAAAAUGUUCCCUCAAUAUAUUAGUAUAUUCUCGUUUGAAAUAGUCUUAUUUCAUUAGGAAAAGAGAAAAACUAGCUCGGAUUCGUUCUACUGUAGAAAAUGUAUUCCUACCCUUAUUUUGAAUGAUUAGUUUUGUUCUAGAAUAUUUGCUUGUUAUCAGACAUGGGGAGAAAACUUGAAAGAUUGGAAAUGAAAAGUUUAGAGACCGAGAUAUCGAUUUACCAAAUUAUUUCUUUCCUGGCUUUCCUUUCUUUUUUUUUUUUUCUAGGUUUAUGAUAUUUUUGUCUUUGUAUAAAAUAUUAUUUCAAGCCAAUGAAUGUCAUAAGAAUGACUUAUUAGUUUUUGUGCAUAAGGAAUCUAGGAAAUAGAAUUCUACUUCACUAGUUCCAGAGACCAUAACACUUAAGCCUUUCACCAUCAGUAUAUUUGGGUAAAGAGAUAGUCUUUAUCAUAAAAGUGUAUGCAUCCACAUUUAGCCAUGGACAAAACUUCCCUGGCAGGAAGCAGAGAUUUUUUUCAAAAUUAUUUUCAGAAAGUAUGCCGAGGCUUUUCUCUAAAAAUAAAAUGGUAUUUCAUCAGUACUGGUCAUUUUUUAGCCACAUAUGACAAAUGAUCACAGAUGCUCAUAAAAAUCUAAAAGGAACUGAAUGUUGUUCUCUUCUGAAACGGCAAAUAUUUUUCCUUUAACUUCAUUUUAAAACAAAAACAAACUUUACCACUUUGAUUGAAGAGAAUGCAGGAAGCGGUAUGGUCCCACCCAAAGUUCCUGCAUUCGAAAUGUCCUCAUGGGGAAGAAGGUUCAAGGUGUUUUUAAGUACAGAACUUUCAUGUUUCUGUGUGUUAACAAUGGCACUUCCUGUUUUGACCUCUAACCAUACUAGGCUAUCAAGAGAGUAAGAUGAUGGACUUCUCCUUUUUGCAAAGUGAAGAGCAUUUUUACUCCUUCUCACCAUGUGUGUAGAGUUCAAAGUGAAGACGAUCAAGACUCAGUUCUCCUGAGUCCAAGACAUUGAUCUAUGGUCUCCCAACAGUGGUUGGAAUUUUCAGUACUUUAUAGUUACCUAGCCAUGCACCCGAGAUUGAAGUCAACAGAAUGUGCAAUACUCCUUGUCUCAAAUAUAAAUAAAGCUAUGUGUUGCCUUUAAAUGGCCCCAGUGUUUUACUAAAAAUUAUUAACAGCCCUUAACAGAUUCAGGACUCGGUGACUGCCUCCUUUUAAGCCACUUUCAUUCAAAGAGAGAGAGAGAAAGGAGGAAAGUAGGGAGAGAGGGCAGAAAAGAAGGGAGGGAGGAUGGGAAGGAGGGAAGAAGGAAGGAAAGAAAGACGGAGGAAAGAAAAAAGCAAAGGGUGGGAGGGAGGAAGGAAAGAAAGAAAAAUUAGAGGGAGAAGACCAUCAUUUUCAAGUGAGAAGGAAAUUACUUGCAAGAUUCAAUAAUCUGAGUACCUGUUGCUUCCCAAAACCAGAAAAAAAAAUAUUUUAAAGCAAAUUCAAUUUACUUACGUCAUGUUAUAUUAAAAAAUGCCAUAUUAUUUUUAAAAGUAGAUACAGAUUAAUGGUAUGCUAAAGAUGUAAGUAUGACAUCAAAAUAAAUAACAAACAUUUUAGAAGUUAAUGUUCUCAAAGUUUGAAAGAAACAGUACUACAUAUUGAAAGAAGACACUAUUUAUUAUUUUGGUGAGAAAGAUUUGCCUGAACUAACAUCUGUGCCACUCUUCCUCUAUUUUGUAUGUGGGAUGCCUGCACCACAUGGCUGAUGAGUGGAGUAGGUCCACACCCGGGAUCCGAACCCAGGAACCAGGGCCGCGGAAGUGGAGUGCAGAACUAUAACCACUCAGCCAUGGGGCUGGCCCGAGGACAUUAUUUAAAGUGGAAAAAAAUCUUAGUGACUAUUCUAUUUCCUGUAUUAUUGUGAGAAUGACAGUUUAUUAGAAAUGAGAAUAUAUUUUCUUAAUAAAAAAGACAAACUUUAUCUUAGAAUUUGUCCUUCAAUUCUUUUUUUUUUCAAGAUUUUAUUUUUUUCCUUUUUCUCCCCAAAGCUCCCCAGUACACAGUUGUAUAUUCUUAGCUGUGGGUCCUUCUAGUUGUGGCAUGUGGGACGCCACCUCAGCAUGGCUUGAUGAGUGAUGCCAUGUCGGCGCCCAGGAUUCGAGCCGGUGAAACCCUGGGCCAUGCAGCAGAGCACACAAACUGAACCACUGAGGCACGAGGCCGGCCCCUGUCCUUCAAUUCUUGAGGGCAG